CUGGCUGAGGUGUCCUGGUUGCCAUGGUAACCAGAGGCCUGGGGUCCUUCACAGACAUCCUGGCAUCCGGUAUGUUUAUUGGGUGAGGGGUCUGUGGUUAUUUGUUAAUCAAAUGAAUAAUUGAUUUGUUAAAUCACAAUUUUUGUACUAGUGACCUUUAAUUUGGAGAAAGAGAAACUGGGGGAGUGACUUUUUUUGUGUCAGACAUGUGUCACUUUGCUCACAUCUGAUUGGUCCAAUUUCAAUUUGAGAUCUCUAACUCAGAACAUAACCUGCCCUAUGCAAGUUAGCCAUGGAUUGUAAGUUACUAUGGCAAUGAACGCACUUUCAUGGUACCUAAAACCCAGGAUUGGUGCAAACUAAACUGAAACUUACCUGGCUAGCCAGCUAAUCCGGCUUCAUUGUACAGGCCCCAGAAGAGUUGUUGUUGUUCUGCUGCCUCCAUAUUCUGCUGCCUCAUAGAAUAUCACAGCCACCAAAGCAGACAUGCGCUGUGAUAAACUGCGGUUACACUCUUAAAAGUGCUGGGUUAUUUCUGUAAACACAUUGUUGGGUUAAUUGUGCUGGGUCAUAAUUCUGGGUUGUUUGAGGUACUGUAAACACAGUUGGGUCGUCUCAUCGUCAGAAGGUCACGCAACUCACAGCAAGCAGGAUUAUAAGUCUCAGAAACCCACCAACUUCUGCAGAGUCAGAGUACUGUAGAAUCCGUAGAGAUGGGGAUUGUGCAACAGGCAGAGACUGCAACACCUCAGCUAACCUUGACCAUGCAGCUUUACCCAGCAUUUUUUUAUAGGCAAUUCGCAAGGUUUUGGAAUCGACCCUGGAAGGGAAAGCCAUUUUAAAGAGUUUGGAUGAAAUGCAGUUUAUUACCUGCAAACAGAGGAAGCUACUUGUAAGACUCCUCAUAUCCCACCUGCUGGAAAUCAACGGUGAAACGCGAGUGAGCUACGACCGCAAAUGCUUACAAGGCACAUCUACAGUCUAAACCUGUUGAUUUUUGUAACACUAUUAAAUAGGUUAUUAAAUAGGGCUCUUUUCUUUUCUUUUCUAAUCAAAGUUUAAUCCUGAUAAUACCAAAAUUUGUUCUAAGUCUAUUAGUUCUUUUACGUCCUAAUGUAAUGACGUCGUACACGAU
Molecule: long non-coding RNA, 1135 nt
Organism: Onychostoma macrolepis
Lineage: Eukaryota; Metazoa; Chordata; Actinopteri; Cypriniformes; Cyprinidae
Exons: 3
Source: RefSeq, a predicted model, not a curated record